This is a long non-coding RNA of Patella vulgata (common limpet), 619 nucleotides long. RefSeq lists it as uncharacterized. The transcript is spliced from 4 exons. The record is from RefSeq and is a predicted model, not a curated record. NCBI's taxonomy places the organism in Eukaryota, Metazoa, Mollusca, Gastropoda, Patellidae.
GGAAAAGGUAAAGUAAAAGUAGUAAAAUGUAAUCAUUUUCAAUGGAGGGAUAGUGUCUUCUGUUUUUUCUACGGUCUAACUAGCUAUAUCUAUAAGAAAUGGAGAACAGGGAGCUGGCUGAAUUAGCAAAAUACAAAAAGAUUAAAGAACUGACAAUUUUAGAGUCAGAACUGAAAAGUUUGAAGACAGGCGCUAAAGUCUAUCAAAAGCAAACUAACAGUGAUAUUUUAUUUUUAUCAAAUAAAGACAAGGAACUGGCUAAAGUAACAGAAAAAUUAGGCAAGUUAAAGAAAGCAUCUUGAGAUUGACCAGAAUAAAGUGAUUAUAAGUAUAUAUUAUUAUAAAAAGACUAUUAGAGAAGGUUUGGAAUUACAAGCUUAAUUGUAUAUAAGAGUUUUAGUUUGUGUUGGGAAAACAUUAAUAAUAUCCAUUUAAAAAAACAAGAACAAUAUGUUCCUGGUAGAAUGCCAGGCAUCAGAGGAACUGUGAAUUUCUUCCAGUCAAUAAGUAUCAUUGGUUUUGUAUGUCCAUGAAUAGAACUUGGUUAUUCACUUUGAUAUUUAGAUGUUCUAUUGUAUCUGAUAUGGGUUGAAUAUAAUAUAUUACUUUCAUGAAACCA